This 414-nucleotide ribosomal RNA is filed under the name uncultured bacterium. Its description in RNAcentral is "bacterial SSU rRNA". It matches the Rfam family "Bacterial small subunit ribosomal RNA", at positions 917 to 1341 of the family's 1533-position model. The record is from RNAcentral.
GGACCCGCACAAGCGGUGGAGUAUGUGGUUUAAUUCGAUGCAACACGAAGAACCUUACCAGGGUUUGAAAUCAUUUCAAAACUCCUUGAAAGAGGAGCCUCCUUCGGGAUGAAAUGACAGGUGGUGCAUGGCUGUCGUCAGCUCGUGUUGUGAAAUGUCGAGUUAAGUCUCGUAACGAGCGCAACCCAUGUCUCUUGUUGCUCACUGAGUGCUUAAGAGAGACUGCCGACCAACAUCGGAGGAAGGUGUGGAUGAUGUCAAGUCAGCAUGCCCCUUACAUCCUGGGCUACACACGUACUACAAUGGUAGGGACAAUGAGCUGCGAUCCUGCGAAGGCUAGCCAAUCUCAAAAACCCUAUCUCAGUUCAGAUCGUAGGCUGCAACUCGCCUACGUGAAGGAGGAAUCGCUAGUAA